RNAcentral lists this ribosomal RNA (496 nucleotides) under uncultured bacterium. Its description in RNAcentral is "partial 16S ribosomal RNA". It matches the Rfam family "Bacterial small subunit ribosomal RNA", at positions 28 to 510 of the family's 1533-position model. The record is from RNAcentral.
GAUGAACGCUGGCGGCGUGCCUAAUACAUGCAAGUCGAGCGAACGGACGAGAAGCUUGCUUCUCUGAUGUUAGCGGCGGACGGGUGAGUAACACGUGGAUAACCUACCUAUAAGACUGGGAUAACUUCGGGAAACCGGAGCUAAUACCGGAUAAUAUUUUGAACCGCAUGGUUCAAAAGUGAAAGACGGUCUUGCUGUCACUUAUAGAUGGAUCCGCGCUGCAUUAGCUAGUUGGUAAGGUAACGGCUUACCAAGGCAACGAUGCAUAGCCGACCUGAGAGGGGAGUCCGCCGCCGUGGUAUUGACGCACGUACCAAUCUCCCACGGAAGGCAGUAAGCGGGCAUCUUCCGAAAGGGCCGAAACCCUGCCGAGACAACGCUGCGGGAAUGAAGAUGCUUAUUGAAUCGUAAAACUUUUUUUUGAGGAAAAAAAAAAAUGGUAAAUAACUGAACAACACGUGUCGGAACCUAGAAAGAAUCCAAGGCAAAAUCACCA